RNAcentral lists this ribosomal RNA (330 nucleotides) under Triticum aestivum (bread wheat). Its description in RNAcentral is "partial small subunit ribosomal RNA". Lineage: Eukaryota; Viridiplantae; Streptophyta; Magnoliopsida; Poales; Poaceae. The record is from RNAcentral.
AUGAGUAUAUUGUGCUGGAACUGUCGUGGGGUGGGUAGACCUGCGACAGUUCGUGAGCUUUGCGACCUUGCAAAGCAAUUUACCCCGGCAGUACUUUGUAUAGUAGAAACACAACUAGACAGAGUACGUGUCGAGAAUUUGAAAACUUCGCUUUGUUAUGAUAAUAGUUAUGCUGUAAGUAGUUCUGGUAGAAGUGGAGGCUUGGGCUUGUUUUGGAAUAAUGAAAUAAAGCUGAAUGUUCAGGGUUACUCUAGGUAUCAUAUUGAUGCACUUAUUGAUGAAACCGGACCAAGCCCGUGGAGGUUAACUUGUGUUUAUGGAGAAGCGUAG